Molecule: ribosomal RNA, 253 nt
Filed under: uncultured bacterium
Lineage: Bacteria
Description: partial 16S ribosomal RNA
Rfam family: Bacterial small subunit ribosomal RNA
Source: RNAcentral
UACAGAGGGUGCAAGCGUUAAUAGGAAUUACUGGGCGUAAAGCGUGCGUAGGUGGUUAGUUAAGUCAGGCGUGAAAUCCUGGGGCUCAACCUCAGAAUUGCGCUUGAGACUGACAGACUCGAGUGUGGUAGAGGAUAGUGGAAUUCCCGGUGUAGCGGUGAAAUGCGUAGAUAUCGGGAGGAACAUCAGUGGCGAAGGCGGCUAUCUGGACCAACACUGACACUGAGGUACGAAAUCGUGGGUAGCAAACAGG